AUGCCUUAUAAUGGUAGUAGUUGUGUACCAACUUGUUCAAAGACUAAGCCAUGAAUGUAUAAAUAUGUAAUAAUUCAAACUUUUAAACUAUGAAUGACUUAUUAAAUUAGUUAUAGUUUAUUUUGUAGGUAUGGCUCGAAUAAUCAUAGUAAUUCUAGAACUAAUACAUACAACAAACCUCGACUUUUGAAAGGAAUGUCUUUAUUGGAUAAAAAUAUUUAUGUAGGUUUUGCCUAUUGCUUUGAUUAUUCAUGAUAACUCUUUGGAUCACAUGACCCUUGUGUCAAUGAUGCAUCAUUCAAAUUUAUGCACUAUCAACUUUCGAUAUUAUGAUAGUGGCCUACUAUAGUGGUGACAGAUGACAAUGAAUUAUGGUUCAAUUUCAAAAAGGAGACCUAAGAAAUGACUACCACAUCCAACCAAGGUAGUAAGUUUGCAAAUUACUCCCUAAUAUGGGGAGGUGGUGACAAUAAGUAACAAUAUAUAAUAGCAUUUAAAUCCCUUAACAAUGAUCAAUUUGAGGACAAGUUUAAUGUUAACAAUUGCGAAAAUUCAAGCUUUAAUAUAAUAUAUUUAAGUUCUUGUACUUAAAAAGCUUGUAAUUGGAUCUUGGGUUUGGUUGAUCGUAUGCCUCUAGUGUGCAUCAGUACACUCGUCCCUUUUGUCGGAGAUGCGCUCCUAACUUUAACUAGUUAGGUUGUGUCUCAAGUGUCGCUACUUUAAAGAAAUUAGAGUGCUUAGCACAAACUUACAUUCUAAAUACAUUAAAAUGGGAUAACACUACAUGAAUAUUAUCGUAUUAGUCUUCGAGAUCAUAGUAAUAAUUAACUAAAACACCGAGGACAUUCGUAUUUUAUAGUUAUAGGUGAAACUCUUGAUUUGAUGAAAGAUGAACAAUUAAAAAAACAUUUACGAAUAACAUUUUCAAAUAACAUUUUCAUUAAUGAAGAACAAAAAUUAGAUGAUGAAAAACAUUAAAAUAUCAUCUUAGUCUCAAUCAUAAACUAUGUUAAACUAGAGAUUCAUAGAUGUUUUUUUAAGACUCUUCUAAUACUUUAUAAAAAAAAUCAAAGUCUUUAGAUUUCC
RNAcentral lists this non-coding RNA (1086 nucleotides) under Vigna radiata var. radiata (mung bean). Its description in RNAcentral is "Eukaryotic small subunit ribosomal RNA". It matches the Rfam family "Eukaryotic small subunit ribosomal RNA", at positions 1 to 1116 of the family's 1831-position model. Lineage: Eukaryota; Viridiplantae; Streptophyta; Magnoliopsida; Fabales; Fabaceae. The record is from Rfam by way of RNAcentral.